RNAcentral lists this ribosomal RNA (775 nucleotides) under uncultured Neocallimastigales. RNAcentral's name for it is "partial large subunit ribosomal RNA". It matches the Rfam family "Eukaryotic large subunit ribosomal RNA", at positions 20 to 616 of the family's 3401-position model. Lineage: Eukaryota; Fungi; Neocallimastigomycota; Neocallimastigomycetes; Neocallimastigales. The record is from RNAcentral.
UACUAGAGUAGCACUCGCAUAUCAAUAAGCGGAGGAAAAGAAACUAACAAGGAUUCCCCUAGUAACGGCGAGUGAAGCGGGAAGAGCUCAAAUUUGAAAUCUUAAAGGGUUUCCCUUUACGAAUUGUAGUUUAAAGAAGUGUUUUCUGUUGAGGUUUUGGUAAAAGUUCUUUGGAAUAGGACAUCAUAGAGGGUGAGAAUCCCGUAUUUGACCUUUACUUUCAACUUUGUGAUACACUUUCAAAGAGUCGGAUUGUUUGGGAAUGCAGUCCAAAAUGGGUGGUAAAUUUCGUCUAAAGCUAAAUAUUGGCGAGAGACCGAUAGCGAACAAGUACCGUGAGGGAAAGAUGAAAAGAACUUUGAAAAGAGAGUUAAACAGUACGUGAAAUUGUCAAAAGGGAAGCGUUUGACACCAGUGUUGUUUUUCUGAAAAUCAAUUAAAGAACUGUUUAUGCUAAGCUGUUUAGACUUUAUCAGCUAAUCUGUUUAGUUUUGAGCUUUUCUUUAAUGCACUUUUCAGUUAACAAGUCAACAUCAAUUUCUUUUGCUGUAAAAAAGCUUGAGGAAGGUGGCUUGAGAUUCGUCUUAAGUGUUUAUAGCCUCUUGCCUAUGCAGUCGGAGAGAUUGAGGUCUGCAGCGUAGAUCCUUCGGGGCUAAAUGCAUUUGUGCUAAGUUAUAGCAUUUUAUAGACAACUUGUUGACUAUGAUUUGUCUUGUAGCUUACUCGCUUAUGUUAUUUUACCUACGCUUAGGAUGUUGAGCGCAUGUCUCUCUCU